Molecule: non-coding RNA, 93 nt
Organism: Peziza echinospora
Lineage: Eukaryota; Fungi; Ascomycota; Pezizomycetes; Pezizales; Pezizaceae
Source: the annotation of a GenBank genome assembly
GGGGAUAUGGUUUAGUGGUAUAAUUUCUCAUUUGCAACGAUCUUUCGGUCUUGAAAAUUGAGACGGUCGUGGGUUCGAUUCCCACUGUCUCCA